This 440-nucleotide ribosomal RNA is filed under the name uncultured bacterium. RNAcentral's name for it is "partial 16S ribosomal RNA". It matches the Rfam family "Bacterial small subunit ribosomal RNA", at positions 338 to 795 of the family's 1533-position model. The record is from RNAcentral.
CCUACGGGUGGCAGCAGUGGGGGAUAUUGCACAAUGGGGGAAACCCUGAUGCAGCGACGCCGCGUGGGUGAAGAAGCGCCUCGGCGCGUAAAGCCCUGUCAGCAGGGAAGAAAAUUACGGUACCUGAAGAAGAAGCCCCGGCUCACUACGUGCCAGCAGCCGCGGGAAUACGUAGGGGGCCAGCGUUAUCCGGAUUUACUGGGUGUAAAGGGGGCGCAGACGGCGAUGAAAGCCAGGAGUGAAAGCCCGGGGCCCAACCCCGGGACUGCGCUUGGAACUGCGUGGCUAGAGUGCAGGAGGGGCAGGCGGAAUGCCUGGUGUAGCGGUGAAAUGCGUAGAUAUCAGGAGGAACACCGGUGGCGAAGGCGGCCUGCUGGACUGCAACUGACGUUGAGGCCCGAAAGCGUGGGGAGCAAACAGGAUUAGAUACCAGAGUAGUC